Molecule: ribosomal RNA, 602 nt
Filed under: antibiotic-resistant bacterium RD1
Lineage: Bacteria; Pseudomonadati; Pseudomonadota; Gammaproteobacteria; Oceanospirillales; Alcanivoracaceae
Description: bacterial SSU rRNA
Rfam family: Bacterial small subunit ribosomal RNA
Source: RNAcentral
GCAAGUCGAGCGGAAACGAUCCUAGCUUGCUAGGAGGCGUCGAGCGGCGGACGGGUGAGUAACGCGUGAGAAUCUACCCAUGAGUGGGGGACAACCCGGGGAAACUCGGGCUAAUACCGCAUACGCCCUACGGGGUAAAGCAGGGGACCUUCGGGCCUUGCGCUGAUGGAUGAGCUCGCGUCGGAUUAGCUUGUUGGUGAGGUAAAGGCUCACCAAGGCGACGAUCCGUAGCUGGUCUGAGAGGAUGAUCAGCCACACCGGGACUGAGACACGGCCCGGACUCCUACGGGAGGCAGCAGUGGGGAAUCUUGGACAAUGGGGGCAACCCUGAUCCAGCCAUGCCGCGUGUGUGAAGAAGGCCUUCGGGUUGUAAAGCACUUUCAGCAGGGAGGAAGGCUUACCCCUAAUACGGGUGAGUACUUGACGUUACCUGCAGAAGAAGCACCGGCUAAUUUCGUGCCAGCAGCCGCGGUAAUACGAAAGGUGCAAGCGUUAAUCGGAAUUACUGGGCGUAAAGCGCGCGUAGGCGGUGUGUUAAGUCGGAUGUGAAAGCCCAGGGCUCAGCCUUGGAAUUGCAUCCGAUACUGGCACGCUAGAGUGCA